AAAAAGCUUGAUAAUGCUUGAAUCAUCUCAGAUCUAGAAAGAUCUGAGAAAAAUCGAACCAUAACGACUUUAGGGUUUUGGAAAAUAUUAAAGUUGAAGAAAAAUUGGUUAAAACGCAUGGAUACACCUGGAUCUAAGACAUAUCUAAAGAAAAGUUAAAAAUAUCAAGAGAUGGGGUUUCAGAAAACCUUGAGAAGAUGAGAAAACUUUAGAACGUUACCGGUUUUAGCCGGAAAAGUCAUAUCCUACUCGAACAACCAUAGAUUGUUGGAAAAUGGCAUAGAAGACCGUGGAUAGACUCUCGAAGAGUAUUCAAGAAGGUAUGGACUAGAUCUCUUCGAGAUCAUUCCAUGAAAUCAUAAAAACAAGCAACCAGGAGACGUAGGAGACAUGUAUAUGUCUCAAACAACCUUAGAAACCUAUGAAUCUAGUGAGGAUCGAAAGGAUUAAGUUGGUUUUAGGUGGCGGAGACUAGUGUUAGGUUUAGGUCUCAGAGAGAAUUAGAGGGGAGGAGAUUUAAAAG
RNAcentral lists this long non-coding RNA (523 nucleotides) under Nicotiana benthamiana. RNAcentral's name for it is "long non-coding RNA (NBEN_LNC021648)". Lineage: Eukaryota; Viridiplantae; Streptophyta; Magnoliopsida; Solanales; Solanaceae. The record is from RNAcentral.